Molecule: ribosomal RNA, 253 nt
Filed under: uncultured bacterium
Lineage: Bacteria
Description: partial 16S ribosomal RNA
Rfam family: Bacterial small subunit ribosomal RNA
Source: RNAcentral
UACGUAGGGGGCAAGCGUUGUCCGGAAUUAUUGGGCGUAAAGAGCGUGUAGGCGGUCCGGUAAGUCAGCUGUGAAAGUCAAGGGCUCAACCCUUGAAUGCCGGUUGAUACUGUCGGGCUAGAGUCCGGAAGAGGCGAGUGGAAUUCCCGGUGUAGCGGUGAAAUGCGCAGAUAUCGGGAGGAACACCAAUGGCGAAGGCGGCUCUCUGGGUCCGCCCUGACGCUGAGGCGCGAAAGCGUGGGGAGCGAACGGG